This 73-nucleotide transfer RNA is filed under the name Bacteriovorax sp. DB6_IX. It matches the Rfam family "tRNA". From Rfam's summary of the family: Transfer RNA (tRNA) molecules are approximately 80 nucleotides in length. Their secondary structure includes four short double-helical elements and three loops (D, anti-codon, and T loops). Lineage: Bacteria; Pseudomonadati; Bdellovibrionota; Bacteriovoracia; Bacteriovoracales; Bacteriovoracaceae. The record is from Rfam by way of RNAcentral.
GUGACCGUAGUUCAGUUGGUAGAGCACCUGAUUGUGGUUCAGGUUGUCGUGGGUUCGAGCCCCAUCGGUCACC